RNAcentral lists this long non-coding RNA (506 nucleotides) under Mytilus galloprovincialis (Mediterranean mussel). Lineage: Eukaryota; Metazoa; Mollusca; Bivalvia; Mytilida; Mytilidae. The record is from RNAcentral.
AGAGAGACCCAUGAUUAGCUGUAAAUGGGUUAUCCUGUCUGCAUACUUAACAUUAUUUUUCGUUCAAUGCGACAUGUGGAUUGAAGGCAUCAGCAUAUGCAGUCCUUUACAACUGAUAAUUUAUUUAGCGUUAAACACAAAUGAUUGGUUCUAUACAAAUAUUUUGCAAUGCAAAUACUAUUUAAUGCACCAUUUGACAGAAGGAAAAAGUGUUCAGCUAUCUUCAAUUUCACACACUCUGUCAUGAGAUUUAAGGCAACAUAUUUAUUGUUUUAACAUAUCAAUCGAACAUCGAUAUGUUUUCAGAGAUUGCAAUUAGGGAACUUGAAUAAACGUUGCGUAUGCUAUUAAAUGUAUUGUUUUCUAUCCAUUUGAAAAUAAUAAACUUGUUCCCCGAACUAUACAUACGAACACCACUCUCUAAGAAUUGAGAUAUACAGUAUCAUUGUAUCAGUGCGUCCGUCUGUGAUCGAGUCUGUCACUUGAAAGGUUAAUUUUAUUAUUCU